Molecule: ribosomal RNA, 486 nt
Filed under: uncultured bacterium
Lineage: Bacteria
Description: partial 16S ribosomal RNA
Rfam family: Bacterial small subunit ribosomal RNA
Source: RNAcentral
AUUGAACGCUGGCGGCAUGCCUUACACAUGCAAGUCGAACGGCAGCACGGGUGCUUGCACCUGGUGGCGAGUGGCGAACGGGUGAGUAAUACAUCGGAACAUGUCCUGUAGUGGGGGAUAGCCCGGCGAAAGCCGGAUUAAUACCGCAUACGAUCUACGGAUGAAAGCGGGGGACCUUCGGGCCUCGCACUAUAGGGUUGGCCGAUGGCUGAUUAGCUAGUUGGUGGGGUAAAGGCCUACCAAGGCGACGAUCAGUAGCUGGUCUGAGAGGACGACCAGCCACACUGGGACUGAGACACGGCCCAGACUCCUACGGGAGGCAGCAGUGGGGAAUUUUGGACAAUGGGCGAAAGCCUGAUCCAGCAAUGCCGCGUGUGUGAAGAAGGCCUUCGGGUUGUAAAGCACUUUUGUCCGGAAAGAAAUCCUUGGCCCUAAUACGGUCGGGGGAUGACGGUACCGGAAGAAUAAGCACCGGCUAACUACGUG